This is a long non-coding RNA of Mauremys reevesii (Reeves's turtle), 401 nucleotides long. RefSeq lists it as uncharacterized. The transcript has 6 exons. NCBI's taxonomy places the organism in Eukaryota, Metazoa, Chordata, Testudines, Geoemydidae. The record is from RefSeq and is a predicted model, not a curated record.
GUUGUUCACUGAGUAUCUGUUAGGAAAAUGUGUUUUGGACUGUAGAUGGCUACUGUAUUUCAUUUCAAAUUACAACUUUUGGUGCUUGGGGAUCUUUGCAUGUGAGAAUAGCCCUGAGGACUACACAUAGAUAUACCAGAAGCUAUGCUCUCCUUAGAAGUAGUAAGAGCCCCACUGGAAAAUAUCUUUCAAAUCUUACGAAUGAACAAGUCUUUGAGAAUUGAUAUCCUGCAGGCAAGCAAGAUACAGAAGUCUGCUGGAGACUUUCACCUGCAGACAAGUACACAGAGCUAUGCAAGUGGAAGGAAUGCUCACGGGAAGAAUAUCAGAAUUUGCUGUACCUUUUAAAAAAAUCAUUUACAUGUGCAGCUAUUUUAUUUAAAUCUCAACCAUACUAACUA